This 510-nucleotide ribosomal RNA is filed under the name uncultured bacterium. Its description in RNAcentral is "bacterial SSU rRNA". It matches the Rfam family "Bacterial small subunit ribosomal RNA", at positions 36 to 518 of the family's 1533-position model. The record is from RNAcentral.
CUGGCGGCGUGCCUAAUACAUGCAAGUCAACGGUCGUUUCUAUGGAAGGCUUGCUUCCACUGAGAAGAUAGUGGCGAACGGGUGAGUAACACGUGGGUAACCUGCCCAUAAGAGGGGGAUAACAUCCGGAAACGGGUGCUAAUACCGCAUAGUUUUCUUGAUCGCAUGAUCGGGAAAGGAAAGACGGCCUUUGUGCUGUCGCUUAUGGAUGGACCCGCGGCGUAUUAGUUAGUUGGUGAGGUAACGGCUCACCGAGACGAUGAUACGUAGCCGACCUGAGAGGGUGAUCGGCCACAUUGGGACUGAGACACGGCCCAAACUCCUACGGGAGGCAGCAGUAGGGAAUCUUCCGCAAUGGACGAAAGUCUGACGGAGCAACGCCGCGUGAGUGAAAGAAGGUUUUCGGAUCGUAAAACUCUGUUGUCAGAGAAGAACAAGUUGGAGAGUAACUGCUCCAGCCUUGACGGUAUCUGACCAGAAAGCCACGGCUAACUACGUGCCAGCCGCCGC